UACGGGGGGGGCAAGCGUUGUUCGGAAUUACUGGGCGUAAAGAGCGUGUAGGCGGCCAGGUAGGUCCGUUGUGAAAACUCGAGGCUCAACCUCGAGACGCCGAUGGAAACCAUCUGGCUAGAGUCCGGAAGAGGAGAGUGGAAUUCCCGGUGUAGCGGUGAAAUGCGUAGAUAUCAGGAGGAACACCUGUGGUGUAGACGGCUCUCUGGACAGUAACUGACGCUGAGACACGAAAGCGUGGGUAGCAAACAGG
Molecule: ribosomal RNA, 253 nt
Filed under: uncultured bacterium
Lineage: Bacteria
Description: partial 16S ribosomal RNA
Rfam family: Bacterial small subunit ribosomal RNA
Source: RNAcentral